RNAcentral lists this long non-coding RNA (633 nucleotides) under Equus caballus (horse). RNAcentral's name for it is "lncRNA (ENSECAG00000047544.1)". Lineage: Eukaryota; Metazoa; Chordata; Mammalia; Perissodactyla; Equidae. The record is from RNAcentral.
CCUGGCACGACCUGGCCCCACCUCGGGCCUCCUGUGGCUGAGCUCUGAGGUUCACCGAGAUGCUCUCACAGAGCAUCCUCCUCCAAUCCCCAACCUGGCCGUGGAUCACCGUCAUCCACCCAUGAGCCGAAGCGCUUCUUCCCUCCAGAGAAGGCUCUCCCGUCGACGCAGUUGAGUGAACUUGCAUGCUCUGUGCUGUCCACAGUCUCAGGAGCAGGAGAAGGCGAGAUGCACGCACACAUCCACGCCGGGCUGACUCCACAGAAAACCAGCUCCCAUCAACAUGUCAGGACAGUCAGAGUUUUCUGGAAGGUUUUGUUCUGACUGGGGGUUUCUUGACCUGGGGUCCACGGACACAGAAUGCCAUGGUUCGGAGAACACCUGUGGACUUGGAAGGGAAGGAAAACUCCCAAGAAACGAUUCUACAAAGGGGAGUGGGUGUGGAAUAAGGAGGCGCUCUGAAUUUAUCUCGUUUGUCAUCCCCAACCUUCAAGACAAACUCUGCCAACGUCCCCCUCGCGUCCACUGCCACUGCAGGGAGUCAGAGGGUGGGCGUCCCAGGUGUCCUCAAGCGCUGCUGCAUGUCAGAAACACGUGGAGCCUCAGGAAUGCUCACGCCCACGUCCAGCCCAG